CGCUCCCUGACAGGACAUUGUCUCCUCCUCCUGUUGCUCUCCCUGCAGCUCUCCUUCCACCGGGACACAGAGGAGGAAAAAUCCAAGCAAAGCAAAGGCGGGGAGCAACAAGCGAGCCUGUGUCCACGCCAUCUUUCCAGGAGGAGUCAGCCAGGAGGAGUGUUGCUCAGCUCAAGACGGGCUCUUCACGUCUUUUCUUUCGGCUUAAGGGGGAAAAAAACCCAUAAAGCCUGAAAGCAGGGCAGGAUGAAGAGAGGAGAGGAGCGACACCCGAGGAGAGACGCAAAACUUCACUUUUGCCGUCUCUUACCACAGGAAAAGAAACCCACUCCUUUAAAAUUCGGGGGCAGAUUUGUAUAAUUUGUGUAUUGCGCAGAAAGCACAACUGAAAGAAAACAAAUCCAGCUACAUCCAAAAGUUUAAGUCUUGAUUUUGUAUCUUAAUGUGAAAUAAAUAAAUACAAUGUAUAAAGAUUCACAACA
This is a long non-coding RNA of Girardinichthys multiradiatus, 482 nucleotides long. RefSeq lists it as uncharacterized. Lineage: Eukaryota; Metazoa; Chordata; Actinopteri; Cyprinodontiformes; Goodeidae. The transcript is spliced from 2 exons. The record is from RefSeq and is a predicted model, not a curated record.